GACGAACGCUGGCGGCGUGCCUAAUACAUGCAAGUUGAGCGCUGAAGGUUGGUACUUGUACCAACUGGAUGAGCAGCGAACGGGUGAGUAACGCGUGGGGAAUCUGCCUUUGAGCGGGGGACAACAUUUGGAAACGAAUGCUAAUACCGCAUAAAAACUUUAAACACAAGUUUUAAGUUUGAAAGAUGCAAUUGCAUCACUCAAAGAUGAUCCCGCGUUGUAUUAGCUAGUUGGUGAGGUAAAGGCUCACCAAGGCGAUGAUACAUAGCCGACCUGAGAGGGUGAUCGGCCACAUUGGGACUGAGACACGGCCCAAACUCCUACGGGAGGCAGCAGUAGGGAAUCUUCGGCAAUGGACGAAAGUCUGACCGAGCAACGCCGCGUGAGUGAAGAAGGUUUUCGGAUCGUAAAACUCUGUUGGUAGAGAAGAACUUUGGUGAGAGUGGAAAGCUCAUCAAGUGACGGUAACUACCCAGAAAGGGACGGCUAACUAC
Molecule: ribosomal RNA, 494 nt
Filed under: uncultured bacterium
Lineage: Bacteria
Description: partial 16S ribosomal RNA
Rfam family: Bacterial small subunit ribosomal RNA
Source: RNAcentral